AACGAACGCUGGCGGCGUGGAUAAGACAUGCAAGUCGAACGGGAACUUUACUUGUAGCAAUACAGGUGAAGUUCUAGUGGCGAACGGGUGCGUAACACGUGGGCAAUCUGUCCUAAAGUGGGGGAUAGCUCGGCGAAAGCCGAAUUAAUACCGCAUAUGAUUACCGGAGACAUCUUCGGAACAUCAAAGGUGGCUGUAGUAAUACAGCUAACGCUUUUUGAGGAGCCCGCGGCCUANCAGCUAGUUGGUGAGGUAACGGCUCACCAAGGCUUUGACGGGUAGCUGGUCUGAGAGGACGACCAGUCACACUGGAACUGAGACACGGUCCAGACACCUACGGGUGGCAGCAGUCGAGAAUUUUUCNCAAUGGGGCAACCCUGAAGGAGCGACGCCGCGUGGAGGAUGAAGGCUUUC
Molecule: ribosomal RNA, 414 nt
Filed under: uncultured bacterium
Lineage: Bacteria
Description: bacterial SSU rRNA
Rfam family: Bacterial small subunit ribosomal RNA
Source: RNAcentral